GACGAACGCUGGCGGCGUGCUUAACACAUGCAAGUCGAACGGAAAGGCCCUGCUUUUGUGGGGUGCUCGAGUGGCGAACGGGUGAGUAACACGUGAGUAACCUGCCCUUGACCUUGGGAUAACUUCAGGAAACUGGGGCUAAUACCGGAUAGGAGCUCCUGCUGCAUGGUGGGGGUUGGAAAGUUUCGGCGGUUGGGGAUGGACUCGCGGCUUAUCAGCUUGUUGGUGGGGUAGUGGCUUACCAAGGCUUUGACGGGUAGCCGGCCUGAGAGGGUGACCGGCCACAUUGGGACUGAGAUACGGCCUAGACUCCUACGGGAGGCAGCAGUGGGGAAUAUUGCACAAUGGGCGGAAGCCUGAUGCAGCAACGCCGCGUGCGGGAUGACGGCCUUCGGGUUGUAAACCGCUUUCGCCUGUGACGAAGCGUGAGUGACGGUAAUGGGUAAAGAAGCACCGGCUAACUACGUG
RNAcentral lists this ribosomal RNA (468 nucleotides) under uncultured bacterium. Its description in RNAcentral is "partial 16S ribosomal RNA". It matches the Rfam family "Bacterial small subunit ribosomal RNA", at positions 28 to 507 of the family's 1533-position model. The record is from RNAcentral.